This 1505-nucleotide long non-coding RNA is filed under the name Heterocephalus glaber (naked mole-rat). RNAcentral's name for it is "lncRNA (ENSHGLG00100040502.1)". Lineage: Eukaryota; Metazoa; Chordata; Mammalia; Rodentia; Bathyergidae. The record is from RNAcentral.
CUUCCGGGGGCGCCCGUUGGAGCCACAGCCGCGGCUCCUCUCAGGCCGCGUCCUCCAGCGGCGCGGUCGCGGGCGGGGACCAAUCUUGUCCCUGUCGAUCUCCUCCGCGCCUGUGCGCCCGUCCGGCGCUACUCUUUUCCUCUGUCAUGAGGCCACCGAGGUCCCGUGCCAGCCUCGGUGUCCCUGCCCUUGUCCCAGGCUCUCCUGUGCUCUGGGAGGCUGCGCAGUCCCAGUCCCGGAGGGGACGGAAUGACCUUCUGGCCCUCCGAGUCCCUGGAGUUGUCACCCGAAGACAGCGCUGGCUCCUCUCCAUCCCUGCGAGCACAGCGAGCGCAGACUGCAGCCAGGGGACUUGAGGAAAAAGCCGGGCUGGCGAGGUGACUGGCGAGAUGAGGCGCCUAGGAGGCCGUCACUGCUGAGCCUGGGAAUCCUCGCAACAGAGGGCCAGUGUCGGAGCCAGGAAGAGGGGGCAGUUCCACAGCAGAAGCCAGAGCACGGGAGAGAGCCGAGGAGGCCAGCGGCCAGCGCCGAAUGUGCUCUGAGUGCCGUCCGGCAGCACGGGUUUCCCCCCCGCCCUGUCCCAGCCUCUUCUCCCUAAGACGCCGAGUCAUUCUGCGUGUGCCUGUCCUCAGGCCUAGGCUCCAGCAGGCCCGGCUCCGGCAGGCCCCAUCUGUUGGCCUUGCAUUUUGGGGUGACACAGGGUAGGAGGGAGCGAGGUACGUGAUUCAGCUAGGCUCCCCACGUUCUGACUGGACAGUGUGUGCAGGUGAAGUGGCUCAAGGCAAUCCUGGGCUGGAUGGUGGAACACAAGUUGUAGCCCAGCAUCCGGGUCUAUUUGCUCACCACUUUGGACGUGGCCCUGAAAAAUCUCUCUUUUUUCCCUCCUGAAAAUCCUUUUUGUAACAGAGGGAGUUAGGAAGAGUACUAGUAGAACACCACCCCGUGGGACAGUGUUCUGACUUCUCCAACACCGGCCAAAGGCAGAUGCGGGUCUAGAAAAGAGCGCGGAGAGAUGUCUGGGCUUCUGGUGCACUCAGGAAUAAGUGCCACAGGGAGGCAGAGAGCCAGAGUGUGCUGUGGGGAGAGGAAGGGGCCCGUUUCCAUGGCAACACUAGAAAUGAGGCUUUGGACUAGCACCGGUCUCAGCCUAGGGGUCAAACUCAGUCAACCACAGGACCUGGUUUCCUCAACUCUAACAAAGAGGAUCCUUGAAUUGUGUGAGGGGUCUGUGACGAAGAGGCUCCAGGAGGCCAGAAGAGGUGCAAGGGCAAACGCGAGUACAGGCUCUCUCCUCGAGCGUGCUUGCUCGGAGUGAGCGCACGGCAGAAGAGAGGAUGCGUCUCACAUGGUGUGGAAGGUGUCAUGGCCUUGGCCAUGGUUAAACCGUGUCUCUACCACUUCCAACUUAUAUAGUAAUGCAUUAGCCAGUAGGUAAAUUAAGCCAGCACACACAUUACAUUGUGGGAAUGACCUAAUUGUUUUUCUGAAAACAAUUUUAUCAUUGG